GGACAGACGUGUUGAAAAAUGGACUAAAUGGGGCUGUGUGAGUUUCCCGGAGCUGCUAUAACAAAUAACCACAAUCUGCAUGGCUUCAAACAACUGAAAUUUACUACUCACUGUUCCAGAGUCCAGCAGUUUAAAAUCAAGGUGAUUGGCUGGGCACAGUGGCUCAGGCCUGUAAUCCCAGCACUUUGGGAGGCUGAGGCAGGCAGAUCACUUGAGGUCAGGAGUUCAAGACCAGCCUUGCCAACAUGAUGAAAUCCCAUCUCUACCAAAAAAUACAAAAAUUAGCUGGGCAUGGUGGCGAGCACCUGUAAUUCCAAAUACUCAGGAGGCUGAGGCACAAGUAUCACUUGAACCUGGAAGGCGGAGGUUGCAUUGAGCUGAGAUCACACCCCUGCACUCCAGCCUGGGCGACAGAGUGAGACUCCAUCUCAAAAUAAAUAAAUUAAUUAAUUAAAUAAAUUAAAUAAAAUCAAAGUGAUGGGCAGGCUCACUCCUCCAGGGGGCUCUGAGGGAGGAUUUGCCCAUCCUCUCUCCUGGCUUCUGGUGGUUCCCAGCCAUUCCUGGUGCUCCUUGGCCUGUAUGCACAUCACUCACCUCAGCAUCCAUCUUCUCAUGGCUUCCCCUCUGUGGGUCUUCUCCUCUUGUCCUCUGAGAAGGACACUUCUCAUUGGAUUGAGGGCCUACCUAGGUCAUCCAGGAAGUUCUUGUCUCAAGAUCCUUAACUCAAUUACAUCUGCAAAGGCCCUUUUUCCACAUAAGGUUACGUUCCUAGGUUGGGGGUAAAUGGAUCUUUUGGAGACCACCAUUCCACCCCCCUCAGGGGGCCAGGGUGGACAGGGGAGGAUCACUUAAGAGAUGCAUGGCAGUGGUGGCCUGGACUGGACAGGAGGAAGCAGAGUCAUGGGCAGGUUUGAGAGGUACCAGGAGGUGGAAUCCAAGCACUUCACCAGUGUUGACAUACACAGAAUUGAGGAAGAUGGAGAUGUUAAGGGUGUCUGUCAGGCAUUGGCUUAAGCAACUGGGUGGAUCAUGAUUUUUUAAAAAAUCUUUAUUUAUCCAAUUCUAUACCACAAAGCUUACCUGUCUCCCCAAACCCAAUUGCCCCAGUUCCUUGGGUUACCUCCAGGGCAAACCCAACUUCUUCAAACCAGGUCUGGUUCUCUACAGAACUCCAGGAAACAUGAGAAGCCCUUCAUGUGAUUGCUAAGUAAUUGCUUUUCAACUAUAAAAGUAAUUAAAAAAUGGCACCAAUUUCCCUAAGUGUAUAAUAUAAUUAAAUCCACUGGCUUGGAAAAUCAUUUGUGAUAAACCGAAACAGCAAAAGAUCAAGCCACUGGGAAUUAGGGAAACGUCUGACAUGAGGACAGAGAGCUCUCUGGGGCCUUUUCCUGGAGGGGCCUUGGUGGGCGUGGAAUGUGGCUGGGAAAGGCAGGGAGAGUGGAGGAUGGGAAAACCAGAUCCCCAGCUGGCUGGGACUGGAUAGGGAAGAGGCGGUGGGAAGCCACCUGCCAGGCCUUGGGCUGUGGGAUGGAGCUCAGGGCCCAGGCCAGGCGGGGUAGAAGUGUUGCCGGUGAGGGUCUUGACUGUAAGUUGCCCAGGUUCUUGGCGUUUUGAACAAAGAAUUGGACAAAAGCCCAGCAAAGCAAAGAAAGAAUGAAGCAACGAAAGAACCAAAGCAGGGAUUUAUUGAAAACAAAAGUACCCUCCACAGUGUGGGAGGGGCCCAACCAGCGGCUCAAGAGCCCAGAUACAGAAUCUUCUCAGAUCCAAAUACCCCCUACAGGUUUCCUAUUGGCCCCCUCAUGUAAAUGAAGUGGUGGCCCGCAAUCAGUGUGAUUGACUGCAGAAAACAACCAAUCAGAGGCUGAAGUGAAGUUACAAAAGUCACACUCCUCUGCAAACACCUGAUUGGCUGCAAAAAGCAACCAAUCAAAGGUUAAGAUGAAGUUACAAAGUUCCACUUCUAUGCAAAGGAAGACUCCGCUCUCAAUCAGUCUGAUUGGUUGCGGACAGCCAAUUUCCCAUCUGCCUGGAGGAAAAGGGAUUUGCAAAAGGAGUAGCCUCUGGUCCUUUUGUUACUUAGGCGUGGAAAGUUAGGGUUUUCUUUUGAGACGGAGUUUUGCUCUUGUCACCCAGGCUGGAGUGCAAUGGCAGGACCUCGGCUCACAGAAACCUCCGACUCCUGGGUUCAAGCUGUUCUCCUGCCUCAGCCUCCCAAGUAGCUGGGAUUACAGGCACCCACCACCAUGCCCAGCUAAUUUUUGUAUUUUUAGUAGAGACGGGGUUUCGCCAUGUUGGCCAGGCUAGUCUGGAACUCCUGACCUCAGGUGACCCACCCUCUUCGGCCUCCCAAAGUGCUGGGAUUACAGGCGUGAGCCACCACGCCUGGCCCGGGUUUUUCUUUCAAUUUAGUUCUAGGAAGUCGGCCUGAAAUUACCUUAGGUUUCCUGCCUCCAGACCCUAUUCUCUUGUCUCAGAAGCACUACCCCAGGAGGUCAAAGGCAGCUCAGACUCAGUCAAAAAGGCAGCUAAGGAAGCAGGAUGGACGGUGGGGCACAAGGAAUGAACAGAAUUGGUUGAAAUCAGUGUCAAGUUGGGCUGCGAAAUUCCGGACAGUUCAGGCAAGCCGUUCAAGACUAAGAUUCGGCCAAAAGGGAAGCAGGGAAGAUGCCCAGGAAGGUUCCUUCUUGCUAGAAGCUUUGCAAAGGCCGCUGGCCACACCCACAACUGCUGGCUGAGAGGCCUGGUGGGCUCACAACUCAGGAAGACCCCACCCACCUGCCCGCCCCCACGAACAGCCCAGGAGCAGGACUGAGCUCAGCACAGUGGAGCUGAUUUACCUGCUGCAGCCUUUCUCCUCUGCCAGAGGUCUUCUGGGGCCACCAGAACCUGGCCAUGCUCACAGAGUGUCCAGCCCUCACUGAGCACAGGCCCUAGCAUGGACCAUGGGAAAAGAGAACUCAAAUAGAAAACUUGGGGUGAAACAUGCAUCUUGUAACGAGGAAGCAACCGUGUUAAUGGGUGCCAUGUACUGCAGAUGAUGGAACAGAAAGACACAGGGAGCCCGAGCCUCUGGGAGCACCACUGAGCUGCUAUGGCAGCCAGGUCUUCCCAUUUCUAGACUUCCUGUUAUAUGAAGAAACAAAAAUUUAGUUAAGGUCCUCCAGUAAUAUUUCUGUUGCAUGCAGUCAACCAUAGUCCCUAAUUCAGUGCACAAUGCCCAAGGUGCACAAAGGAGAAAGGAUAAAAGGACUUCUUAGGAACAUGAUCUUUGAGUUGAUCUUGACAAAUGAAUAGAGUCUAAGAUUUCCCAUGGGCGAAGGCACAGAGGGGCAGCCUCUUAUUCUCCCCGCCUGCCAGGGCUUCGAUACCUGAAUGUGCAGUCAUCGUGUGACACCCACCUUCCAGAACCUCUUACUUUUUCUUGGGCACCUGAAACUAAGAAUCUGGUCUUUGACCAACUAAAUCAAUCAUCACCUUCUCCCAUUCAACAUUCCAACCCCCAGGCUGGGCGCGGUGGGUCACGCCUGUAAUCCCAGCACUUUGGGAGGCCGAGGCGGGCAGAUCACCUGAGGUCAGGGGUUCAAGACCAGCCUGGUCAACAUGAUGAAACCCCAUUUCUACUAAAAAUACAAAAAAAUUAGCCAGGCGUGGUGUUAGGUGCCUGUAAUCCCAGCUACUCAAGAAGCUGAGGCAGGAGAAUCGCUUGAACGCAGAAGGUGGAGUUUGCAGUGAGCUGAGCCUGUGCCACUGCACUCCAGCCUGGGCAACAGAGUGGUAUAAGGAAGUGGGGCCUUUGGGGAAUUAUUAGCUCAUGAGGGUGGUGCUUUCAUGAGGAGGAUCAGUGCCCUUAUAAAAAAGACACUCCAGAGAGCUCCCUUGCCCCUUCUGCCAUGUGAGAACACAGUGAGAAGGUGCCAUCUAUAAACCAGGAAGUGAGCCCUCACCAGACACCAAAUCUUCCAGCACCUUGAUCUUGGACUUCCCAGCCUCCAGAACUGUGUGAAAUAAAUUUCUAUUGUUUAUAAGCCAUCCACUCUACAGUAUUUUUAUUAUAGCAGCCCACAUGGACUAAGACAGGAACCUUCUAGGAGCCUGGCUCUGGGCUCUGUGCCUCACAUUUAUCUCAUUUCACUCUUGCAACCACCCUGAGAUAAGGACAUUUGUCCCCACUUUGCAGGGGCAGAAGGAACUGAGGUGCAAAGAAAUUAGCAACCCAGCCAAGGUCACACAGCUAGUAAGUAAGGUAGGUUGGUGUGGAAUUCAGACCUGCCUGUGUACCUUCAAAGUAUGCUUGCACUCUAGUUCCCCAUUCUGCUAUCAGGAGCCUUGAAUUCAACAUCCAACCCAAACACCACCACCAUGUGUGGCUUAGAUAAAUUAAUUUCACCUCCUUGAGCCUCAGUUUGUCCAUGUCUAAGUUGAGAGAGUUCUGGGGGCUAAAUAGGAGGUCUCAAAGG
This 4460-nucleotide long non-coding RNA is filed under the name Homo sapiens (human). Its description in RNAcentral is "HSALNT0068448". Lineage: Eukaryota; Metazoa; Chordata; Mammalia; Primates; Hominidae. The record is from RNAcentral.